AUUAGGAAACUGGCAAAGAUGCUUCACUGUGGCCUGACUGAAGGCAGCGAGUGGUGAAACCACUGCAGCUCAGACUGUCCAUGAACCUGUGUCAGUCGGAGGAGGGCAGAGGGCCAGAGAGGGAGCAGGGAGGAAGCUAGGCCUUUCACUGAGUUGAAUACAUCACCUGUGACCAGAGCCUGUGGACAGUUCAGCAAGUAGCCUCCCACUGUGUGUCUGUGUCCGGUGGGACCGGGGAAGCUGUGAUGCAAAGCAGGAGAGUUUCAGUCAAAAUCAAUCAACAGAUACGAAGUACAACCGCGACGUGAUGGUGUUAGAUCUUCAAUGCAGACUCUGCAGACUCUGGAAACUGGUUUUGUGAAGGGGCUUCCCAGGUGGCUUGGUGGUAAAGAAUUAGCUUGCAAUGCAGGAGUCCCGGGAGACACGAGUUCAAUUCCUGGGUGGGGAAGAUCCCCUGGAGAAGGGAAUGGUGACCCCUCAAGUAUUCUUACCUGGAGAAUCCCAUGGACAGAGGAGCCUGGCGAACUACAGUCCAUGGGGUUGCAAAAAGUUGGACACAACUGAAGCAACAGAGCAUGCGUGCGUUCAUUUCAGAUGGCCUCGGGGUGCAGUAAUAUCCUCUGUGGUAUGCAGCAUCUACACAUCCAGGGCAGCUCUUGGCUGAGGCCAGCUGGACCAGACUGCAUGUGCAGGGAGGGGCUGCUGCCCGGGAGCGGACCCUGGACCAUCUGCCCACACCAGGGCCCGUGGAAGCACCAGCCUGGAAGGCAUCUGGCCCAGGACUCAGCAUCACUCUUCUGAUGUGAACACUUAAUAAAGAUAAAUAUAAAGUUGCA
Long non-coding RNA from Bos taurus (domestic cattle), 836 nucleotides. The record is from Ensembl. NCBI's taxonomy places the organism in Eukaryota, Metazoa, Chordata, Mammalia, Artiodactyla, Bovidae.